Molecule: ribosomal RNA, 253 nt
Filed under: uncultured bacterium
Lineage: Bacteria
Description: partial 16S ribosomal RNA
Rfam family: Bacterial small subunit ribosomal RNA
Source: RNAcentral
UACGUAGGGCGCAAGCGUUGUCCGGAAUCAUUGGGCGUAAAGGGCGCGCAGGCGGUUCUGUAUGUCUGCCGUGAAAGCAUACAGCUCAACUGUAUUGUGUCGGUAGAAACUGCAGGACUUGAGGCUGGGAGGGGCUGGUGGAAUUCCCUGUGUAGCGGUGAAAUGCGUAGAGAUGGUGGAGAACACUCGUGGCGAAGGCGGCCAGCUAGACCAGUUCUGACACUGAGGCGCGACAGCGUGGGGAGCAAACAGG